RNAcentral lists this ribosomal RNA (502 nucleotides) under uncultured Glomeromycotina. RNAcentral's name for it is "partial small subunit ribosomal RNA". It matches the Rfam family "Eukaryotic small subunit ribosomal RNA", at positions 591 to 1092 of the family's 1831-position model. Lineage: Eukaryota; Fungi; Glomeromycota. The record is from RNAcentral.
CCAAUAGCGUAUAUUAAAGUUGUUGCAGUUAAAAAGCUCGUAGUUGAAUUUCGGGAUUUAUCCGUCGGUCGGGCUUUUGGGUCUGUACUGGCGUGAUGGAUUCCUACCUUCUGAAUAACCGGCAUGUCAUUUAUUUGGUGCGCUGGGGAAGCAGGACUGUUACCUUGAAAAAAUUAGAGUGCUUAAAGCAGGCUAUUGCCUGAAUACAUUAGCAUGGAAUAAUGAAAUAGGACGGCAUGGUUCUAUUUUGUUGGUUUCUAGGAUCACCGUAAUGAUUAAUAGGGAUAGUUGGGGGCAUUAGUAUUCAAUUGUCAGAGGUGAAAUUCUUGGAUUUAUUGAAGACUAACUUCUGCGAAAGCAUUUGCCAAGGAUGUUUUCAUUAAUCAAGAACGAAAGUUAGGGGAUCGAAGACGAUCAGAUACCGUCGUAGUCUUAACCAUAAACUAUGCCGACUAGGGAUCGGACGAUGUUAAUUUUUUAAUGACUCGUUCGGCGCCUUACG